GAUGAAGAACGUAGCGAAAUGCGAUAAGUAAUGUGAAUUGCAGAAUUCAGUGAAUCAUCGAAUCUUUGAACGCACAUUGCGCCCGCCAGUAUUCUGGCGGGCAUGCCUGUUCGAGCGUCAUUUCAACCAUCAAGCCCCCGGCUUGUGUUGGGGACCUGCGGCUGCCGCAGGCCCUGAAAACCAGUGGCGGGCUCGCUAGUCACUCCGAGCGUAGUAAUACAUCUCGCUCAGGGCGUGCUGCGGGUUCCGGCCGUUAAAAAGCCUUAUUUACCCAAGGUUGACCUCGGAUCAGGUAGGAAGACCCGUUGAACUUAAGCAUAUCAAUAAGCGGAGGA
This 335-nucleotide unclassified non-coding RNA is filed under the name soil metagenome. Its description in RNAcentral is "partial contains 5.8S ribosomal RNA, internal transcribed spacer 2, and large subunit ribosomal RNA". The stretch from base 1 to 120 matches the Rfam family "5.8S ribosomal RNA", at positions 35 to 154 of the family's 154-position model. The record is from RNAcentral.